Molecule: long non-coding RNA, 1803 nt
Filed under: Danio rerio (zebrafish)
Lineage: Eukaryota; Metazoa; Chordata; Actinopteri; Cypriniformes; Danionidae
Description: si:ch211-134o20.4 (ENSDARG00000098940.2)
Source: RNAcentral
AAUUUAAUGUGCUAAUAUUGUUAUUGAUAAACAUAUUUUAACCUUUUUUUUUUUACAAAACACAAGUAUAUCAGCAUACAUAUCUAUAGUGCAUACAAUAGGAACGAAUGAAUAUUUAAUACAAACGCCUCACGCUUCACUAAUGUCAGGAAUGCAAUCUCACAAUGAAUCCCUGAUGUAUUUGAAACUUUAUGCAGUAUUUACAUUAAGAUUUCACUGUACUGUGCUUUGCCACUAUGGGCAGUGAGAGCUUGAACACUGCUAGUCUGACGGACAUGACUGAGCUGGACCCAUGGGAAGAGAUGAGCAGCACUGGCUGUACUGAGCGUAUUAUCGUUUAUAGAAAGAUUGCACCAGGAGAGGGCGCUCAAGUGGCGUGUAAGUGCAUUAGCUGCUAAUCACGAGUCUAGUAUCUCCGAAUGUGUUUGGAUGGACACGAGUGAUCAGUUUGAAAUGAAGAGAUUGAGAUCAUCGCUGUUGCAUAGCUCAGAGGAAUGUCCAAGAUCAGUGCCCAAAAUAAAAUAAAUGCAUCCCUGUCAAAAUGGACGGCAUUUAAUAUAAAAAAGACGCUAAAUGGCUGAAGAAACACAUCUUCUUUUGGACAACAGUUGAAGGAGAUUGCUAAUUAAAAAAAAACUGUCUACUUGACAAUAAAAACUUCAAUAACGGAGUGAGAUCCUGUAAGGCACAUGAGAAUACACCAACAGUUCUCAAAAACAACUCCCAGAGAAAACAGGAAUUCAUCUCAAACAGGAACAGAGGAGGGUGCGUUCAGACACAAGCUGAUGUCCAGACAAAUGUAUGCGAGGGGAGAACUAAGAAAUGUGAUGUCUGAGAUAAAUGUAAAACUUCAGUUUCUUUUGCUGUGAUGGCUGAGUCUCGGAGGAGAGUCUCCUCAAGUACAGCAUCAAAAAACACUCUAUAACGGAUGGAAACAGGUCUUUGCUAUUGCAAAAUAGGAGUGUGAGGAGUCCUUGGCUAAAGCUCACAGCUCCGAUUUCUCUGUGAGAGGCUGGAUUUCAGAAGGAUCGUCCUGAGGGAAGACCACGUAACACAUCUUCUGCCCCAGACACAGGUGGUUGAGAGGAGUCGGGUGGCGAUGUAUGGAGGCAGGCAGUUUGGGAAGGCAGGCUGCAGAACAUAGUUGGAAAAGGUGAGCGCAAUCACAGCCAGAGUCGUUGGGUACAUGAUCAACACUGCACUCCACAGCAACAAGAAGCUGUGAAAACAACAAUUGGCCAUCUUUAUCUUCACACAUACACACAGACUUCUGAGUGUCAGUGUUAUAACUGAGUCAGCAAGUAAACACAUGUGAAUCUCCCCGAGGAAGAGACAGUGUCUUCAAACACAAACUGAGAUGUUCACAUUGACAUUUAUGCAUUUGGUGGACAUUUUCACCCAAAGCAAUUAAUGCUGCAUCGGUUCAUGCAUUUGAACCUAUAGGGGAAUUGAACCUAUUACUCGUAUUACAGAGUAACACUCUGGAGAGCAGCAAUACACCUACCCCACCAGUCCCCCGAAGAUCUCUGUCACAUAUGAGUAGUCUCCACCUGAUUUGGGGAUGGUGACGCCCAGCUCAGCAUAACAAAGAGAUCCCAGGGCACAGAUUCCGCCUCCCAGGACCCACACGAUGAGUGAGAACCCCACACUGCCAGCAUGAUCCAGAACCCCCUUUGGAGAGAUGAAGAUCCCUGAGCCAAUGAUGUUGCCUGAAAAAAACAAGAGAAACAGCAAUGGGUUGUUUAGUUUUUUAUAUAUACAUUUUAUUAUUUCAUAUUUAAAAUAAACUACGUAGCUGGACUG